AAUAAGCUAAGUAAGGGCGUAUGGGGAAUGCCUAGGCUCUCAGAGGCGAUGAAGGACGUGAUAAGCUGCGAUAAGUUGCGGGGAUUGGCACAUACAAUGUGAUCCGCAAAUUUCCGAAUGGGGCAACCCGGCAUAUUGAAGAUAUGUCAUCCUUUCGAGGAAGCAAACCCGGAGAACUGAAACAUCUAAGUACCCGGAGGAGAAGAAAACAAAAGUGAUUCCGUUAGUAGUGGCGAGCGAACGCGGAGAAGCCCAAACCAGUGUUGUUACGGCAAUACUGGGGUUGUAGGACCACGAUAUUUGAUGCUCAACGAAUUAGAACACUUUGGAAAGAGUGACCGCAGAGGGUGAUAGUCCCGUAUAGGUAAGUUGAGUUAUUGAUAG
RNAcentral lists this ribosomal RNA (384 nucleotides) under uncultured Flavobacteriaceae bacterium. RNAcentral describes it as "bacterial LSU rRNA". It matches the Rfam family "Bacterial large subunit ribosomal RNA", at positions 1 to 400 of the family's 2925-position model. The record is from RNAcentral. Lineage: Bacteria; Pseudomonadati; Bacteroidota; Flavobacteriia; Flavobacteriales; Flavobacteriaceae.